RNAcentral lists this ribosomal RNA (496 nucleotides) under uncultured bacterium. Its description in RNAcentral is "partial 16S ribosomal RNA". It matches the Rfam family "Bacterial small subunit ribosomal RNA", at positions 28 to 507 of the family's 1533-position model. The record is from RNAcentral.
GAUGAACGCUGGCGGCGUGCCUAAUACAUGCAAGUCGAGCGAACAGACGAGGAGCUUGCUCCUCUGACGUUAGCGGCGGACGGGUGAGUAACACGUGGAUAACCUACCUAUAAGACUGGGAUAACUUCGGGAAACCGGAGCUAAUACCGGAUAAUAUAUUGAACCGCAUGGUUCAAUAGUAAAGACGGUUUUGCUGUCACUUAUAGAUGGAUCCGCGCCGCAUUAGCUAGUUGGUAAGGUAACGGCUUACCAAGGCAACGAUGCGUAGCCGACCUGAGAGGGUGAUCGGCCACACUGGAACUGAGACACGGUCCAGACUCCUACGGGAGGCAGCAGUAGGGAAUCUUCCGCAAUGGGCGAAAGCCUGACGGAGCAACGCCGCGUGAGUGAUGAAGGUCUUCGGAUCGUAAAACUCUGUUAUUAGGGAAGAACAAAUGUGUAAGUAACUAUGCACGUCUUGACGGUACCUAAUCAGAAAGCCACGGCUAACUACGUG